CCUACGGGGGGCAGCAGUGGGGAAUAUUGCGCAAUGGACGAAAGUCUGACGCAGCGACGCCGCGUGAGGGAUGAAGGUUUUCGGAUCGUAAACCUCUGUCAGGAGGGAAGAAAGCGCAUGGCGCCAAUCAGCCAUGCGUUGACGGUACCUCCAAAGGAAGCGCCGGCUAACUCCGUGCCAGCAGCCGCGGUAAUACGGAGGGCGCGAGCGUUAUCCGGAUUUAUUGGGUUUAAAGGGUGCGUAGGCGGAUCGUUAAGUCAGUGGUCAAAUUGAGGGGCUCAACCCCUUCCCGCCAUUGAAACUGG
Molecule: ribosomal RNA, 305 nt
Filed under: uncultured bacterium
Lineage: Bacteria
Description: bacterial SSU rRNA
Rfam family: Bacterial small subunit ribosomal RNA
Source: RNAcentral